This 341-nucleotide unclassified non-coding RNA is filed under the name soil metagenome. RNAcentral's name for it is "partial contains 5.8S ribosomal RNA, internal transcribed spacer 2, and large subunit ribosomal RNA". The stretch from base 1 to 120 matches the Rfam family "5.8S ribosomal RNA", at positions 35 to 154 of the family's 154-position model. The record is from RNAcentral.
GAUGAAGAACGCAGCGAAAUGCGAUAAGUAGUGUGAAUUGCAGAAUUCAGUGAAUCAUCGAAUCUUUGAACGCACAUUGCGGCCAUAGGUAUUCCUUUGGCCAUGCCUGUUCGAGCGUCAUUUACACCCUCAAGCCUAGCUUGGUGUUGGGCGUCUGUCCCGCCGUUUUCGCGCGCGGACUCGCCUCAAAGUCAUUGGCGGCGGUCGUGCCGGCCCCCUCGCGCAGCACAUUUGCGCUUCUCGGAGGCCCGGCGGAUCCGCGCUCCAGCAAGACCUUUCACGACUUGACCUCGGAUCAGGUAGGGAUACCCGCUGAACUUAAGCAUAUCAAUAGCGGAGGA